UGGGGAAUAUUGCACAAUGGGCGCAAGCCUGAUGCAGCAACGCCGCGUGAGGGAUGACGGCCUUCGGGUUGUAAACCUCUUUUAGUAGGGAAGAAGCGAAAGUGACGGUACCUGCAGAAAAAGCACCGGCUAACUACGUGCCAGCAGCCGCGGGAAUACGUAGGGUGCAAGCGUUGUCCGGAAUUAUUGGGCGUAAAGAGCUCGUAGGCGGCUUGUCGCGUCUGCUGUGAAAACCAGAGGCUCAACCUCUGGCCUGCAGUGGGUACGGGCAAGCUAGAGUGCGGUAGGGGAGAUUGGAAUUCCUGGUGUAGCGGUGGAAUGCGCAGAUAUCAGGAGGAACACCGAUGGCGAAGGCAGAUCUCUGGGCCGUAACUGACGCUGAGGAGCGAAAGCAUGGGGAGCGAACA
This 407-nucleotide ribosomal RNA is filed under the name uncultured bacterium. Its description in RNAcentral is "partial 16S ribosomal RNA". It matches the Rfam family "Bacterial small subunit ribosomal RNA", at positions 355 to 774 of the family's 1533-position model. The record is from RNAcentral.